This 234-nucleotide ribosomal RNA is filed under the name Triticum aestivum (bread wheat). RNAcentral's name for it is "partial small subunit ribosomal RNA". Lineage: Eukaryota; Viridiplantae; Streptophyta; Magnoliopsida; Poales; Poaceae. The record is from RNAcentral.
AUGAGGCGCAUGCCUAAUGUCAAGAAACUGGAGAUUGAGGAGGGCGCCAUUCCAUGCGUUGAUGAGAUCUACAUCAUGUCACUCUCGGAGCUGAGUAUGGUCCCUCAUGGCAUCGAGUCGCUUGGGUCUCUCAAGAAGCUCUGGAUGCUGUACCUGCACAAGGACUUCAAGGCUGACUGGGGUCUGAACCAGAUGCACAACAAGAUGAAGCAUGUUCCAGAGCUCCGUGCCUAG